Molecule: unclassified non-coding RNA, 188 nt
Filed under: Glomeraceae sp.
Lineage: Eukaryota; Fungi; Glomeromycota; Glomeromycetes; Glomerales; Glomeraceae
Description: partial contains 5.8S ribosomal RNA and internal transcribed spacer 2
Rfam family: 5.8S ribosomal RNA (bases 1-71)
Source: RNAcentral
GUGAAUCAUCAAAUUUUUGAACGCAAAUUGCACUCUCUGGUAUUCCGGAGAGUAUGCCUGUUUGAGGGUCAGUUUAAAUAAAAAUCGGUGUGGUUUCUGCCUUUCGUGGUGACGCACCGGUUUUGGGUCGUCUGGCCUUCGGAUAUGUGAGCUAAUAUUUCGCAUGAUUUUGUCAAAUGUUUUUAACU